RNAcentral lists this ribosomal RNA (328 nucleotides) under uncultured eukaryote. RNAcentral's name for it is "partial 18S ribosomal RNA". It matches the Rfam family "Eukaryotic small subunit ribosomal RNA", at positions 1470 to 1796 of the family's 1831-position model. The record is from RNAcentral.
CCCUUAGAUGUCCUGGGCCGCACGCGCGCUACACUGAUGCAUGCAACGAGUUUAUAACCUUGGCCUGAAAGGUCUGGGUAAUCUUUUGAACGUGCAUCGUGAUAGGGAUAGAUUAUUGCAAUUGUUAAUCUUGAACGAGGAAUUCCUAGUAAACGCGAAUCAUCAGCUCGCAUUGAUUACGUCCCUGCCCUUUGUACACACCGCCCGUCGCACCUACCGAUUGAAUGGUUCGGUGAAGAUCUCGGACUUCGAUAUUUAUUCUUUAUUGAGUUUAUAUUGUGGGAAGUUAUCUAAACCUCAUCAUUUAGAGGAAGGUGAAGUCGUAACA